GCCCCCAUCUCCCGCCGCCCCCACCUCUCAGGGCUGUCAAUUGCGUUGGUCAAUGUGAAAAAAUUUGGGGGGUUUUUUGGGUGGAAAUCCGACCACUGCUUUCCAAGCUGCCAUCUUUCAUGGUCCCUUUCUCCUGCUCUGCGCCUAGGUAGCCACAGUUAUCUUGAGGGCUUGUAGGAACUUCACAGAAUGUUCUUGUGCAAAGGAAACCCUUGGAGUGGAACUCGUUUCUGGCCUUCUGUCUUGCUUCUCUGUUCUCUUGUGAAAGUGGUCAAUGCAAUUUCCAGUUAAGUUUUCAUUUAAAAAAUUUUGAUGAAUCAUUUCUUUUAUUUAGAGUGUAUAGAUGUUUGUUUAGUGUCUGUUAGAGUAUAGGCUAUUUUGGUUCGGGGUCGAUAUUUUUCACCUGUGCUUCUUGUUUCUCUAAGGAUUCUAAUUUCAGGUAUUGUUGUCUAAAUUACAAUUUUUAUAUGUAUUUUGACAUAAUCAAUCUCAGUUUUGUAUUGUUUUUGGGAAAUUAGUAGCAUAAUAUCGGCAGCAUCUCAUGUGGGUUUUUUGAGUUUGGACAUUGCUUUUCUCAAAGAUUCUCUGCUUCAAAGGUGUUUGAGGAUUUUCCUCUUUCAAGUUCUUCUCUAAUAUUUGUUCUGAGAACUGUCCAAAUGAUGUUAAAGUUUUAUGCAAGCAGCAGCAGAAGCCAAGAGUCGGGAAGUUGCAGUUAUGUAUAUGUGAAGGCUUAUCUGAGUUUUUGGAAACAUAGCUAUUGCAGCCCGGCAUGCUCAACGUGUACAUGGAUUGAAGCGGGUUCUUAUAAUUGAUUUUGAUGUUCAUCAUGGGAAUGGUACAUGUGAUGCAUUUUAUGAUGAUCCAGACAUUUUCUUCAUUUCAACUCAUCAGAUUUAUAUCUUGGGAGCUCAGUCAAGGCAUCCAAAGCAUACGAGAAAGUUCAUUACAGUAUGCAAAUGACAAUGCCUUGCAGCUUGCCAAGGCAUGCAUGAUGGUGGGGCUGAAGGGAAUCGUUUCAAGAAGGUGAAAAGCGAAGAUACAUGCGAUCAUU
This is a long non-coding RNA of Asparagus officinalis (garden asparagus), 1051 nucleotides long. RefSeq lists it as uncharacterized. Lineage: Eukaryota; Viridiplantae; Streptophyta; Magnoliopsida; Asparagales; Asparagaceae. The record is from RefSeq and is a predicted model, not a curated record. The transcript has 4 exons.